UUAAGUGACUAAGCGUACACGGUGGAUGCCUAGGCAGUCAGAGGCGAUGAAGGGCGUGCUAAUCUGCGAAAAGCGUCGGUAAGGUGAUAUGAACCGUUACAACCGGCGAUACCCGAAUGGGGAAACCCAGUGUGUUUCGACACACUAUCAUGUCAUGAAUACAUAGUGGCAUGAGGCGAACCGGGGGAACUGAAACAUCUAAGUACCCCGAGGAAAAGAAAUCAACCGAGAUUCCCCCAGUAGCGGCGAGCGAACGGGGAGGAGCCCAGAACCUGAAUCGGCUUGUGUGUUAGUGGAAGCGUCUGGAAAGUCGCGCAGCAAAGGGUGAUAGCCCCGUACACUAAAAUGCACAGGUCGUGAGUUCGAUGAGUAGGGCGGGACACGUGACAUCCUGUCUGAAUAUGGGGGGACCAUCCUCCAAGGCUAAAUACUCCUGACUGACCGAUAGUGAACCAGUACCGUGAGGGAAAGGCGAAAAGAACCCCGGCGAGGGGAGUGAAAUAGAACCUGAAACCGUGUACGUACAAGCAGUGGGAGCACCUUCGUGGUGUGACUGCGUACCUUUUGUAUAAUGGGUCAGCGACUUAUAUUUUGUAGCAAGGUUAACCGUAUAGGGGAGCCGUAGGGAAACCGAGUCUUAACUGGGCGAAUAGUUGCAAGGUAUAGACCCGAAACCCGGUGAUCUAGCCAUGGGCAGGUUGAAGGUUGGGUAACACUAACUGGAGGACCGAACCGACUAAUGUUGAAAAAUUAGCGGAUGACUUGUGGCUGGGGGUGAAAGGCCAAUCAAACCGGGAGAUAGCUGGUUCUCCCCGAAAGCUAUUUAGGUAGCGCCUCGUGAACUCAUCUUCGGGGGUAGAGCACUGUUUCGGCUAGGGGGCCAUCCCGGCUUACCAAACCGAUGCAAACUCCGAAUACCGAAGAAUGUUAUCACGGGAGACACACGGCGGGUGCUAACGUCCGUCGUGAAGAGGGAAACAACCCAGACCGCCAGCUAAGGUCCCAAAGUCAUGGUUAAGUGGGAAACGAUGUGGGAAGGCACAGACAGCCAGGAUGUUGGCUUAGAAGCAGCCAUCAUUUAAAGAAAGCGUAAUAGCUCACUGGUCGAGUCGGCCUGCGCGGAAGAUGUAACGGGGCUAAACCAUGCACCGAAGCUGCGGCAGCGACGCUUAGGCGUUGUUGGGUAGGGGAGCGUUCUGUAAGCCGUUGAAGGUGGCCUGUGAGGGUUGCUGGAGGUAUCAGAAGUGCGAAUGCUGACAUAAGUAACGAUAAAGCGGGUGAAAAGCCCGCUCGCCGGAAGACCAAGGGUUCCUGUCCAACGUUAAUCGGGGCAGGGUGAGUCGACCCCUAAGGCGAGGCUGAAAAGCGUAGUCGAUGGGAAACAGGUUAAUAUUCCUGUACUUGGUGUUACUGCGAAGGGGGGACGGAGAAGGCUAGGCUGGCCGGGCGACGGUUGUCCCGGUUUAAGCGUGUAGGGGGUGUGACCUGGUAAAUCCGGUUACAUAUUAACCCUGAGGCGUGAUGACGAUGCACUACGGUGCAGAAGUAGUUGAUGCCCUGCUUCCAGGAAAAUCCUCUAAGCUCCAGGUAACAUUAAAUCGUACCCCAAACCGACACAGGUGGUCAGGUAGAGAAUACCAAGGCGCUUGAGAGAACUCGGGUGAAGGAACUAGGCAAAAUGGUGCCGUAACUUCGGGAGAAGGCACGCUGGCAUGUAGGUGAAGUCCCUUGCGGAUGGAGCUGAAGCCAGUCGAAGAUACCAGCUGGCUGCAACUGUUUAAUAAAAACACAGCACUGUGCAAACACGAAAGUGGACGUAUACGGUGUGACGCCUGCCCGGUGCUGGAAGGUUAAUUGAUGGGGUCAGCCGCAAGGCGAAGCUCUUGAUCGAAGCCCCAGUAAACGGCGGCCGUAACUAUAACGGUCCUAAGGUAGCGAAAUUCCUUGUCGGGUAAGUUCCGACCUGCACGAAUGGCGUAAUGAUGGCCAGGCUGUCUCCACCCGAGACUCAGUGAAAUUGAACUCGCUGUGAAGAUGCAGUGUACCCGCGGCAAGACGGAAAGACCCCGUGAACCUUUACUAUAGCUUGACACUGAACAUUGAGCCUUGAUGUGUAGGAUAGGUGGGAGGCUUUGAAGCGUGGACGCCAGUCUGCGUGGAGCCAUCCUUGAAAUACCACCCUUUAAUGUUUGAUGUUCUAACUCUGCCCCAUAAUCUGGGGUGAGGACAGUGUCUGGUGGGUAGUUUGACUGGGGCGGUCUCCUCCCAAAGAGUAACGGAGGAGCACGAAGGUUAGCUAAUCACGGUCGGACAUCGUGAGGUUAGUGCAAAGGCAUAAGCUAGCUUGACUGCGAGAGUGACGGCUCGAGCAGGUACGAAAGUAGGUCUUAGUGAUCCGGUGGUUCUGAAUGGAAGGGCCAUCGCUCAACGGAUAAAAGGUACUCCGGGGAUAACAGGCUGAUACCGCCCAAGAGUUCAUAUCGACGGCGGUGUUUGGCACCUCGAUGUCGGCUCAUCACAUCCUGGGGCUGAAGUAGGUCCCAAGGGUAUGGCUGUUCGCCAUUUAAAGUGGUACGCGAGCUGGGUUUAGAACGUCGUGAGACAGUUCGGUCCCUAUCUGCCGUGGGCGUUGGAAGAUUGAGAGGGGUUGCUCCUAGUACGAGAGGACCGGAGUGAACGCACCACUGGUGUUCGGGUUGUCAUGCCAAUGGCAUUGCCCGGUAGCUAAGUGCGGAAAAGAUAAGCGCUGAAAGCAUCUAAGCGCGAAACUUGCCUCAAGAUGAGUCUUCCCUUGGACUUUGAGUCCACUGAAGGAACGUUUAAGACUAAGACGUUGAUAGGCUGGGUGUGUAAGUGCAGCGAUGCAUUGAGCUAACCAGUACUAAUGAUCCGUGAGGCUUAACCUU
This 2906-nucleotide ribosomal RNA is filed under the name Serratia marcescens BIDMC 44. Its description in RNAcentral is "bacterial LSU rRNA". It matches the Rfam family "Bacterial large subunit ribosomal RNA". Lineage: Bacteria; Pseudomonadati; Pseudomonadota; Gammaproteobacteria; Enterobacterales; Yersiniaceae. The record is from RNAcentral.